This 60-nucleotide transfer RNA is filed under the name Strongylus equinus. RNAcentral describes it as "tRNA-Ile". Lineage: Eukaryota; Metazoa; Nematoda; Chromadorea; Rhabditida; Strongylidae. The record is from RNAcentral.
AUUUCAUUAGUAAAAUUAUAUUACGUUAUCUUGAUAAGGUAAAAUUCUUAGGAUGAAAUA